GAUGAACGCUGGCGGCAUGCCUAAUACAUGCAAGUCGAGCGAACGGACGAGAAGCUUGCUUUUCUGAUGUUAGCGGCGGACGGGUGAGUAACACGUGGAUAACCUACCUAUAAGACUGGGAUAACUUCGGGAAACCGGAGCUAAUACCGGAUAAUAUUUUGAACCUCAUGGUUCAAAAGUCAAAUACGGUCUUGCUGUCACUUAUAGAUGGAUCCGCGCUGCAUUAGCUAGUUGGUAAGGUAACGGCUUACCAAGGCAACGAUGCAUAGCCGACCUGAGAGGGUGAUCAGCCACACUGGAACUGAGACACGGUCCAGACUCCUACGGGAGGCAGCAGUAGGGAAUCUUCCACAAUGGGCGAAAGCCUGACGGAGCAACGCCGCGUGAGUGAUGAAGGUCUUCGGAUCGUAAAACUCUGUUAUUAGGGAAGAACAUAUGUGUAAGUAACUGUGCACAUCUUGACGGUACCUAAUCAGAAAGCCACGGCUAACUACGUG
This 497-nucleotide ribosomal RNA is filed under the name uncultured bacterium. Its description in RNAcentral is "partial 16S ribosomal RNA". It matches the Rfam family "Bacterial small subunit ribosomal RNA", at positions 28 to 507 of the family's 1533-position model. The record is from RNAcentral.